RNAcentral lists this long non-coding RNA (3230 nucleotides) under Homo sapiens (human). RNAcentral's name for it is "HSALNT0400124". Lineage: Eukaryota; Metazoa; Chordata; Mammalia; Primates; Hominidae. The record is from RNAcentral.
UCUCAGCCAUGGUUGCAUACCUUCCAAGCUCCACCGCCUCUUCUUCCUCGUGGGCAGAUCCCUGAUUUUGUGUAGGACAGCACUUGAAAUGUAUUUGUGUGCUCAACAUUGGUUUCCUCUCUGGAACCUGGGAUCACUUCAGGGGUGGACACGUGGCCCAACCAUGACUGAUGAGACAUGCGGGGAAAUCUGCAGAGGCAACUUCUAGGAAAGGUUGGGCUCUUGCAGCCACCCUGUGACUAUGAGGUGAGAAGCUUGUCCAGUGUGAUAGCUGAUCCACUGAAGAUGACAAGGAAAACAGCAGAAAGGAACCAGGCUACUUGAUCAUAGUGAGAGCUGAUAAGGCAGCCAAUCUGAAUUUCUUUCUACGUAAAACAAUUAACAUUAGUGUUUCAUUGCAUUUUCUAUUGCUUGCAGCCAAAAAUACUCUAACCACUGUCCUUGGGCAAAUUACUGACCUCUUUAAGCCUUGAUUUUCUCAUCUCUGAGAGAUGAACACAAGAGUUUGUAUUUCAUUGAAUGAGAUAAGGUAAUGAUAAGAAUAAGAAAUAUUUAUGCUGCACUUACUAUGUGCUCAACUCUGUUCAAAACAGUUUACUCAUUUAACAUACGUAUCAUGCUUAGCCUAGGAUCCUGAACCUUUUAUGUUCUCAAACUUACCCUUAUAAUCAUUGCUAUUGCAGGAACUAGGCUAUUAAUUCAGACCUUCUGUUCCUAGACAUUUUACCAACAGUGAAAGUAAACUUUCACUCCUCCCACCACCCCACAAGGAAAAUUACAGGAGCAUUUGAAAACAUUUUUGAAACUCAAAUGCUCUCACAAUUGAAUGACACAGGAAUCAAUACUUAGAAAACUCUGCCUUUUCAGUGUUCAGAGUAUAAUGCAUAUUUUUAAAAAUAGACUCAAUACAAGUUCUUGCAAAUCUAUUUGGAAGCGAAAAGAGCUCAUUAUAACAAUGGUUCUGGAUGGAUUACAAACUUCUCAGUUUAGAAAUGGGUUUUUGUUUUGUUAGUACACCAUGCUCUCUACUAUUAUUUACUGCAUAGUUUGAGUCACUCACUAGUCAAUUUCUCAACGCUUUGUCAAGGACUAUGAAGGGCUGAAGAUUUACUCUACUUGAGAACGAACCAGGUAACCUCCCACAAUUUCACAGAUGCUAGCAGAAGACAGGGCACUCCUCGGUUAGACACCUAGGGCUUCAUUACUUAGGGCCCAGCAGUCAGUGUGGGCACCAGUUCCCCUUACCCCUCUUCCCAUUCCCACAGCUCAUGGUAUGUGGGUGGGUCCACGUGGACACUGCACAGAAUUGAGGAACCUUGCAUUUAAGAAGACUUAAUCUUACAAGGGGCUGAUAGCAAACUUUCCCAAACCUUGUCCCAGAGAAAGAUAUUGUCUUUAUCAUCCUGAUCUGAAUACUAAUCUUCCCUCUGUAGAAGGAGACAGUAUCUCUGUUUCCUAAGGCUCUUGCUGGACAAACAUCUUUGAAAGGACAGUUCAGAGGAGAUGCUGUCAGAGUCUUAGCUCACAAGAUGUGCAGAAAUGGAAAGGCCAUGGAGAAUUGUCUCCCAACACUGGGAAACCACUCAGUCUCACUCACCUCUACCAUGCUUUUUCAGUGUACCCUAUUUUUUUUCUCAGCAAAGCUGCUUGCUAUAUUUGCAUUUGGCUCUGAGCUGACCCCAACCUCAAGUGUUACCUCUUGGUCAUCCACCACUUUCUGAAUAAAUUAUAUUCAGUGGUCCAAGUUCAGAUGACGAGGGAAGGGAAUCUGAUGGAUCCAGCUUGGGUCCAGUAUCCAGGCCUGGUUCAAUUAGUGUCAUCAGGGGUCAGUGCCAUUUAACACACUUUGCCCACCCUCUGUGGAUGGGCAGGAGUGGGUAGAGUCCUGUAGGGUAAGGACAGGGAGACAGCCUUGGUAAAAGUUCAUUUAACAAGGAUGGAUUGCAUAACUGGUUUCAUCAUUGUUAGUAGCAGUAGUCUCUCUAUAAAUCUUAUAAAUCACUUAUAUUGAAAAAAGUCAUCAAGCAUGACUCAAAUAACUUCAGCAGAAAACAGUCACCCUAAUAAAGUCAUUUAAUUAUAUAUGUCUAUAUAUUCUGAAUAUUCAGCGAAGUGGAUUAUGCCACCGGCUGAGUGUAUCCAGAGUGAUGCUUGACAGCUCCUUUUAUUGCUAAUGGCUCACAGAGUUUAUGCCCUUUAGGAAGUGCCAGAAUCAUUAGUACUGUCACUGAAAUGUGCUGUUAAUGUAAAUUCUACUCAGAAAAAUGGAACAGCAAUUGCAAAACCAGCAGCUGGAGAAUGGGCAGCCCAGUGAGGAAAGAUCAAUGGGAGAAAGGCUUGUAACUUUCUCCCAUUUUCUAGAAAUUUGUGACUUUCUAGAAAACGAAGCCAGUCUCAACAGUGCCUCCAAGGACCUGAAGCUUCUCCAAGUGCUGUUUUGAAUGGGAAGGCAGGAGUCGGAACUGGCCAUCCAGGACUGUCUACAUGGCCUCUCUCUCUUCUCAUCUUCCUCUAAGAAAUUUCUCCAGUUUUUCAAUCUUGACCUCUCAGAAAAAAGAGAUUCUGAUCUUGUGAACUGAUGCUGCAUGUUGAAUGAGUUUUCAUCCUGCAUGAUACUUCAUGGAUUUAUUUGCAUUUUAAUUAUUCUUUUAUACAAAAGAGCCAUAGAAAAGAAAAGUCUGACCCAAGUUUUGUCAAGAUAAAGCAGAGUAUGGGAAGUGGGCAACUGUGAGAACUUGGUUAGAGCCAGUCUGUAUAGUUUAGUAUUUAAUGGGGAAGUUUGGGGUGUGGGAAAUGGGACCUAUUUCCUUUGCUCUUGAGGUUAGGUUGAGCCAUCUGGCUCCCUGCCCUGCAGUUCCCAUAACUGAAGAGUUAUACAUCCCAUAACCCCUGCCCACUAGUGAACCCCUUCCUCAGCUCUGGGACUGAUUGUCUUCAAGCUGAGCACACACUGAGCACUGGGCCUGCCUUCUUCCUAACACAGGUUUUUGUAAGCUCCAGACAUUGGAUAAAGCAUUUUGAGGGAUAGGUGAAAACGAAAUCCUGCCCUUUACUCUUGAGAACUCACUCUGCUGUGGGAGGAGAGACAGGCAGCAUUCUGACCACAAUGCCAGAAGACAAUACGGAAUUACUCAGUACAUGAAGCACCAGGAAGAUGACAACAGAAGAGAGAGGACCCAGACAUUGGAAUCAGCAGAGUUGGGGUUUCGCCAUGUUGACCAGGCUGGUUU